Molecule: long non-coding RNA, 1212 nt
Organism: Planococcus citri (citrus mealybug)
Lineage: Eukaryota; Metazoa; Arthropoda; Insecta; Hemiptera; Pseudococcidae
Exons: 3
Source: RefSeq, a predicted model, not a curated record
AUGAAACAUAAAUCUGUCGAAUAAUAUACGAUACUCUGAUUGGUUGAAGACUGAAUGUCUUCGGUGACGUAGUUAUUUUAUCAACCAAUGAACAACAAGCGUACUAAUCGUCGAAUUUUUGUUUUGAUUGCAGAUCUGGCUGGAAAAACACACGUGGAGAAUUAUCACACAUGUACAUCGAGUAAGUAUGAAAUUGUUACACUAAUUGAUAUAUUAAUUAAUCACUUGAUUAAUAAUGACGUUGAUGUUUUGCAGGUGGAUCAUCGAGCGAAGAAUGCUGCAAAAUCGAAUCUUUGGCCAAUGAAUCCGAACCCAAGUAAUUGAUAAGUCCAAGAACUAUUUCCAGUAUAGUAUGUUGGGUUUGUGAUACUAAAUUCUCUACAGAUCCAAAUGGAGGAUUUUUAUCGAGAAUACGUUCAAUCUGGUGUACGUAUCGAACAGAAAUGCCUUUCGUUUGUCUUGACACGUCGUAACGAAGCCAGGAUCUGAAUUUAUAUGCGAUGGAUGCGGUAUUACCAACGAAGGAAGGAGCUGCCAUUCAUCUGCAAUACCUACGUUUCCUGUCGAUAAUAAGAUUCUCUUCGGAUAUCGUAUUCCAGCAGUUUUGAGAUUUUGCAAUAGAAUUUUACCGGAUGCAAACUGAUCAAGGAAGAUGUUUCGUGAAAUCGAGUCGGAUAAUGAACGGGCGUUGUGCGCUAUGCCGAAACACAACCCGUCACCUAUCAUAAGAUGACUUUGAAAGAAAUAAACUAAUUCCGGCAGCUCCCUAGAAUUAGCGAUAUUACCAGUAACAACAUAAUGGGUAUCGUCCGAUACAGCAGUGACAAUAUCCACGAUUUCAUCAGGGACACAUCGAUCAAUCGAAGUUGGUAAGACGUCCAAUAAUUCGCGAUAAGUGGGUGGAUCUAUCACCGCAUCAUUUUUAAUCAAAAAGGCUCACGGAGUUAAUCGCCUUGGUCGUCGAGAUACCGCUGAGACUUUUGCUUACCGAAGAUCGACGAUUCUUCUUGAAACGUGGAUUUCUGCUUUUGCCAUUGUCGUCGGUCUGAUUGAUAUUGAUAUUCAAACUGUUACGAGAUGAAUGAACGAUCGAUCGAUGAUUAUUAGUCGAUUCCGGAGUCAAUGAUAAUGAGCGCUUUUUCGAUGGAUUACGUUCGUAUACUUGUUCAAAAUUCAGCUCAUCAUAGUCAGAAACUUCGGAUGAUAAAGGCU